This 128-nucleotide small RNA is filed under the name Marmota monax (woodchuck). Lineage: Eukaryota; Metazoa; Chordata; Mammalia; Rodentia; Sciuridae. The record is from RNAcentral.
GCCAGGCGUGGUGGUGCACGCCUGUAAUCCCAGUGGCUCGGGAGGCUGAGGCAGAAGGAUCAUGAGUUCAAAACCAGCCUUAGCAAAAGUGCUAAGGUGCUAAGCAACUCAGUGAGACCCUGUCUCUA